This 1004-nucleotide ribosomal RNA is filed under the name uncultured Eubacterium sp. Its description in RNAcentral is "bacterial SSU rRNA". It matches the Rfam family "Bacterial small subunit ribosomal RNA", at positions 480 to 1491 of the family's 1533-position model. Lineage: Bacteria; Bacillati; Bacillota; Clostridia; Eubacteriales; Eubacteriaceae. The record is from RNAcentral.
CAAUGAAGAAGUCCCGGCUAACUACGUGCCAGCAGCCGCGGUAAUACGUAGGGGACAAGCGUUGUCCGGAAUCACUGGGCGUAAAGGGCGCGUAGGCGGUUUUAUAAGUCAGAUGUGAAAGGUACCGGCUCAACCGGUGACGUGCAUUUGAAACUGUAAGACUUGAGUACUGGAGAGGCAAGUGGAAUUCCUAGUGUAGCGGUGAAAUGCGUAGAUAUUAGGAGGAACACCGGUGGCGAAGGCGGCUUGCUGGACAGAUACUGACGCUGAGGUGCGAAAGCGUGGGGAGCGAACAGGAUUAGAUACCCUGGUAGUCCACGCCGUAAACGAUGAUGACUAGGUGUUGGGGAAACUCAGUGCCGCAGUUAACACAUUAAGUCAUCCGCCUGGGGAGUACGACCGCAAGGUUGAAACUCAAAGGAAUUGACGGGGACCCGCACAAGCAGCGGAGCAUGUGGUUUAAUUCGAAGCAACGCGAAGAACCUUACCAGGCCUUGACAUCCUCUGACCAUCCUAGAGAUAGGAGAUUUCCUUCGGGAACAGAGAGACAGGUGGUGCAUGGUUGUCGUCAGCUCGUGUCGUGAGAUGUUGGGUUAAGUCCCGCAACGAGCGCAACCCUUGCCUUUAGUUGCCAGCAUUAAGUUGGGCACUCUAAAGGGACUGCCGUAGACAAUACGGAGGAAGGUGGGGACGACGUCAAAUCAUCAUGCCCCUUAUGGCCUGGGCUACACACGUGCUACAAUGGGUUGGGACAAAGGGAAGCGAAGCCGCGAGGUGAAGCCAAUCCCAUAAAACAACCCCCAGUUCGGAUUGCAGGCUGAAACCCGCCUGCAUGAAGUUGGAGUUGCUAGUAAUCGCAGAUCAGAAUGCUGCGGUGAAUGCGUUCCCGGGUCUUGUACACACCGCCCGUCACACCACGAGAGUUGGCAACACCCGAAGCCAGUGAGCGAACCGUAAGGACGCAGCUGUCGAAGGUGGGGUCAGUAAUUGGGGUGAAGUCGUAA